RNAcentral lists this long non-coding RNA (882 nucleotides) under Malus domestica (apple). RNAcentral's name for it is "long non-coding RNA (MDOM_LNC017812)". The record is from RNAcentral. Lineage: Eukaryota; Viridiplantae; Streptophyta; Magnoliopsida; Rosales; Rosaceae.
AAAUAUCGAAAUAUUAUGGAUAUUUUAGACCAUUUGCAAGUGAUGUAUUCAAUUGCACAAAGGCUGCCCUUAUUCUCUCAUCUGCACCGACAGAGAAAAGAAAGGCCUAAUCCAAUUUUUUCUGGAGCAAGCCGCCACAUACAAUUGUAGCAGAGCAAGAGGCAUUAGACGAUAAGAUUAAAAAAAGAGAGAUGGAAAUCCAGCUUCCUAGAUCAAAUUCCAGUUUGAGGGUUUCAAGCAAAAGUAUGAACAUGAGAUAUUUAUUUGAUGAUUAUGAUUUGUUGUGGAGAUUGGCCAAGUGCAGAUUUGGUGGAUGUCCAUUUUGGAGAUGUGACUGUCAUUAAACACUUAGCAGAGCAUUGAAGAGGUAAAUUAAGGAGGCCUACUACUGCAAUGAAUUGAUUCAGAGGUAUAAGGCUAGGGGUGAUGGCAGUGAGAUAUCAAUGAGAAGGAGUUAAAAGUUUCUUCCAUUUCUCUUCUUCAUGCUUGCCAAUUAAUGGGUUUUAAAACCUUUGUUGGUUAUGGAAAAGGAAAGAGGAGGGGGAGGAAAAAAAAAAAGAGAACUGAUCAAGAUUCGAAGAAGCAGAGACAAAGGGAAGAAGGUAGCGGCAAAGCAAGAGAUUUUCAGGCUUUUUUAAACUUAGUUUUCUUUUAAUUUUAUGAAUUCAAUAAUAUUUUUUAUUAUGUUUCGGAACUAAUUUUUCAUAGCUAGGGCUAUGAUGUAGCCUUGACUAUGAAUGCUUAAAUUCUGAAUUGAAUUAUUUUCAAGUUUUCAAUUUUCAUUGAGUAUCGUUUGCUGUGCUUAUAUGCUUGGUUUUAGCAUUGGUGAUUAGCUACCAUAUUGACUUUUACUUAGUAAAUGUGAUGCAAGUUAUGUAGAUG